Molecule: long non-coding RNA, 1478 nt
Organism: Vidua chalybeata
Lineage: Eukaryota; Metazoa; Chordata; Aves; Passeriformes; Viduidae
Exons: 2
Source: RefSeq, a predicted model, not a curated record
GACCGGGAGCGGGACGGGGACGGGGAGAGGGAACAGAGACAGCGACAGCCCAGUCCGCGCGUGUCGCGAGCCCUCCGCGGGCACCGGCGGGGCCGCAGGGCGGAGGGUGUCAGCUCGCCCAGCGCCCCGUUGCCGCGGGGCCUUCGGGCGCUCCGGGCUCAGGAGAGGAGAGCUGAGCCCAGCGGGCAGCGAGCCGGCGGUGCCCCCGGGCCCCGGCACAGGAGAGGCAGCAGCGUCCCCAGGGAGGGAGCACGGCUGCCCGGAUCCCCCGACACACACAGGGCUGGGCCACUGCUGGAAACGCAGGCGAGCCCGGUGGGAAGAAAUGCUGGUGUCUGACUCCAGAAGGCUGAAUGAUUUCUUUACUAUAACUCUGCUAUAAUACAUUAAUAUACUAUUUACAGGAGAUAUUAAAACUACAAACCUACUUUUCUAACUGCCAUAUCUAACCAACUCACAACUCGUGCCCCUCUCUGAGAGUGCAGCCACAGAGAGAAGAAGGUGCCAGCCACGUGCCAGCUCCAGGACACCUCAGCGUUGGCCGGCGGCUCUCGGGCUCCAGCAGGAGCAGACUGGCAGGUCCCGAGCCCCUUUCUGGCAGAGCACCGAGCAGUGUCGCCGUGCAUUCUGUGCCUGCUGCUCCCCCCGGCCUCGCUUUCCGUUGGAACAGCGUGAGAGCUUUCCAGAGCAUUGCUCAGGAGGAGAUGGAGGAACGUGAGCAAAUCCGGGCAGAGCCGAGUGAAACACGACAGGACUGAGCAGGGACUGGAGCAAGGAGGGGACAACAGUGCUGCUGAGGAGCAGUGCAGCUCUGCCAGACAGGGACUGGGGACUUCUUGCCACAAGCUGUUCCACUGGAACCACCCCAUCCUGCCGGUCCCUUUGCGAGAUGGGGGGGCUGAGGAACGUUUCCUGCGGGAGAUGUUCCCACUGGAUAGGUGUGAGGUCACUGGCAAGGCAGAGAAGGCCUUGGCUUUGGGUUUUGUCACCGCUCAGCUGUGCUUGGGGUGUUUGUGGCAACUUUCCAGAAUUCCCUCAAACCUCCGAACUCCAAAGCUUGGACAUUUCAUACCAUAAUUACCACUUCAGCUGCAGCCAGUCCCAUAAUUGCAGGAGAAUUUCACCUUCCAUUCCCUGGGGCUGCAGGAAGGUUUCUUGUCCGGCACCGACUGACCCACGACUGCCCUGGGGACUCUGACAGGGCAUGGCACGGCCUGUGUGAGGUGGGUGACAGCAAAGCAGCUGACAAACAGUGCAGACGUUGCCACAGGCACAGCUGGACCUCCCGAGUGGUGCUGGAGAGCGGAGUGAGGAGAGGCCAGACCCCGCAGGCAGCGGGACGGGCACAGCUCCUCAGCAGCUGUGUCAGGAGCACACAGUGCUCAGAGAAUACCGAGGUACAGCUGUCAGGAGCGCUGAGUUACACACGGAUCUUGAAAAGAAACACGUGGUAGUGAUGCCUCAGGUUUUAGCUUUUA